This is an RNA transcript of Drosophila ficusphila, 1579 nucleotides long. It is a transcript of the gene named putative RNA polymerase II subunit B1 CTD phosphatase RPAP2 homolog, with no coding region annotated. The transcript is spliced from 6 exons. The record is from RefSeq and is a predicted model, not a curated record. NCBI's taxonomy places the organism in Eukaryota, Metazoa, Arthropoda, Insecta, Diptera, Drosophilidae.
GACCAUCUCAAUUGCAAAUUUCGGGCGAAAACCACACAAAAUGACAACGGAAAAGGGCGAGCAACUAAGGCAACAGCUUAUUGCGGCGGUGGUGAAGAAACGCGCGGCGAAUGCCCGGGCUCAUGAAAUUGUGGUGCGGCUUUUGGAGCCCGGUAUUCCGGAGCCCGAGUUCCUGUCUCUGCUUUGGGAAAUCGGACCGCCAAAUUAUUCCGAUAUCGUGGAUGAGCGAGAAAUAAACAAACUGUGUGGUUAUCCGCUGUGCUCCAAUCCCCUAGAGAACAUUCCCAAACAAAAGUACUCAAUCUCCGCCUCCAAAAACAAGGUUUACGAUUUGACCGAACGCAAGAAAUUCUGUUCCGGAUAUUGUUUUAAGGCCUCAGAAUAUAUUAAAUCCCAGGUGCCCACAUCACCAUUAUGGCUACGAGAUCGGGAGACGAGACCCAACUUCAUACUUCUGCCCCGAGAUAAAAAUCCAAUUUAAAUAAAAGUUUUUUCGUAACACUCACCACAUAAAGGCAAUAUGCAAAUAUUAAACAAAAAGAAAACACUCUGAAAAUGUUAAACAAAAAUAAAUGAAUGCAAAUUAAAAAGCACGAGGGAAAGCCAAAACAAAUAACAACAGCAACAAUGUGUUCAUAACUAUUAAAAAGCGGAUAUUUAAAAUAGGAAAAAACGAGAAAUAAAAAUAAAAACGAAAAAGAAAGGCUUUAAGUAACGCAUUAUGCUAAAUUGAAUUCAAACUCAUCUGAAUCUGAAUCUGAAUCUCUACUCUCGCAUCCAUGUUUCUGCAUUCGUAUCUGCAUCUGCACCCGAACCCGCAUCCGAAUCUGCAUCCGUAUCUUUGCAUCUGCUGAGCCGAGCGAAUGCGACGAUGCAGCAAACAUGCCAGCUAAAUUCCAAUCCAAAACCCAGAAACAAUACAUCAAUCAGUUCAGCAAGCAACCAAUCAAGCAAUUCCAUCAUCAAUUUGCAACUGCCAUCAACUCAUCAACAAUAACAACUGCAACCAGUACUGCAACAAAAGUCCCAACCUAAAUGCCAGAAAUUAAAUGCAUCCAACUAAGACAAACCAAAUAAACCUAAAAUAAUUCUAAACAAUAAAACCUAAAAAAAAAAAAACAAAAAAUAGCUUAACACCACUCGAAGGCAAAACGAGAAGAAAAAGAGUAAAAUUCAAUUUUCAUAUUAAUUAUGGAACAUUCAUCAACAAUUUUGUUGUGUUUGUUCCAUUGCAAAAACGAAAAGGUCGCCGAUUGUUUGCAGCUGCAGCAACAACGACCACUGGGAAAGUCAACAGCAACAACAGCCACAAAAGCAACAGCAACAACAACUUCGACAACAGCAACUUUGGGAGAGACAGCAACAAAAUCAAGCAGAAGACCAACAACAAUAACAUCAACGGAAGCAGCAGCAACAUCAGCAACAUCAACUAGCAACAACCAACAGCAGCAACUUCUUGGACAGCAGCAACUUCUAGCUUCAUUUCGACCAAAUUGCUGGCUAACAUCUUACAACUGAACGAAACAACGAUACUAAGCUGUACUAAAAAGUUAAGGAUCACCGACACCGGAAAAUCAAA